GUGAAAUCCCAGGAUGGGCGGGGUGACCCGCUGAGUUUAAGCAUAUCAAUAAGCGGAGGAGGGAAAACUUACGAGGAUUCUCCUA
This 85-nucleotide ribosomal RNA is filed under the name Disa tenuifolia. RNAcentral's name for it is "partial 25S ribosomal RNA". It matches the Rfam family "Eukaryotic large subunit ribosomal RNA", at positions 1 to 82 of the family's 3401-position model. The record is from RNAcentral. Lineage: Eukaryota; Viridiplantae; Streptophyta; Magnoliopsida; Asparagales; Orchidaceae.